This is a ribozyme of 215 nucleotides. It matches the Rfam family "Nuclear RNase P". From Rfam's summary of the family: Ribonuclease P (RNase P) is a ubiquitous endoribonuclease, found in archaea, bacteria and eukarya as well as chloroplasts and mitochondria. The record is from Ensembl.
GUGGGGAGAAGCUCAUUGAAGAGGUCACUAGCAGAGUGCACUGUCACUCAAUCCUGCACCUUGGGGAAGGUCUGAGAAAAGAGCCACUGAAUGCCCUUGCAGAGCAUCUCCUGACAAAGGAGAGUGAGCACAGACACGCUCACGGCUGGCACAUGAGUCCACUGGAUGAGCUGGGAUUAACUUCCAGAACCCAAUUCAGACUACUCUCCUCCCAC